CUCAUGGAGAGCAGUGACAAUCCGUUCGGCGCAGGCAAUCAGCAGGAAAGACUAGCGCGAGCUAGAAUCCUCAGAGACUACACGCCAGACUCCAAACAUGGAGAUGAUAUAGUCCGACCUGCAUGGCGACAUGCAGAGCUUGACGGAAACGCUCAAGCCCAUCGCAAGAUGAGUAACAAUCGAGAACGGUCCUAAGGUUCUCCGCGAGCCUUAGUAAAACUUGGCUAUAUGCUGGGAAGUCUGAGUAUCCUGCGCUACGUGAGAGGAGGUGAUUCAUGUUCACCAAACUUUUGACCGAUACUCCUCGCCCGCCAAAUUUGCUCAACGGCAACGUUGAGCCGAAGGGCGAGGGUUAUCGAGAAAGCCUCUUACGUGAAAAUGCGACAGGUGCAGAUAAUCAGCAGGAAAGGCUAAAAACAGUCGGAUGGAUCGUAGGCUUUGUUGACGGAGAAGGUUGCUUCUCAGUAACCAUUCAGAAAGCAACAACGGCUACGGGUUGGCAAGUCUUCCCUGAGUUCGUAGUGACUCAAGGGGAGAAAAGCUUGUCAGCACUACGUGACCUGCAAGAGUUCUUCGGGUGCGGAAAGAUUUUCGUCAAUCGCCGCCACGACAAUCACAGGGAACAUCUUUAUCGUUUCUGUGUGCGUUCAGUAGCGAAUUUGAGAGACAAAAUCAUUCCGUUCUUUCGAGAGAAUCAACUGAGGACGGCGAAGCGAAUGGACUUUGAGAAGUUCGCACGCAUCCUUGAGUUGAUGGACGAGAGAAGGCAUCUGAACUCUGAAGGGCUUGUGGAGAUUGCGAACAUCGCCCAAACGAUGAAUCGCAAGAAGCCAUCCAGGUUUUUAGAAUCCUCAGAGACUACACGCCAGGCACCUGCAACACAGGUGAAGAUAUAGUCCGAGCUGCAUGGCGACAUGCAGAGGUUGGCAGAAAUGACCAACCCCUCGACGAAAGUUGAGAGCAACAAGUCUGAGCGAAAUUCCUUGUCGGGUAAGUUCCGACCUGCACGAAUGGCGUAACGAUCUGGGAGCUGUCUUAACGAGUGGCACAGCGAACUUGUAGUACCGGUGAAGAUGCCGGUUUCCCGCAUCUAGACGGAAAGACCCCGUGCACCUUUACUACAACUUGAUAGUGAGUGCGGGCGCACGCUGCGCAGGAUAGGUGGGAGGCUUUGAACCCGUGGUCUCGGCUGCGGGGGAGCCAACGGUGAGAUACCACCCUGUGUGCGUCUGCGUUCUAACCUAGCCCCGUCAUCCGGGGCAGGGACACUAUCAGGCGGGUAGUUUGACUGGGGCGGUCGCCUCCUAAAGAGUAACGGAGGCGCUCGAAGGUUGGCUCAGGCUGUUUGGAAAUCAGCCGUAGAGUGUAAACGCAUAAGCCAGCCUGACUGUGAGACACACACGUCGAGCAGGGACGAAAGUCGGAGUUAGUGAUCCGGCGGUUCUGUAUGGAAGGGCCGUCGCUCAACGGAUAAAAGGUACGCCGGGGAUAACAGGCUGAUCCUACCCAAGCGUCCACAGCGACGGUAGGGUUUGGCACCUCGAUGUCGGCUCAUCGCAUCCUGGGGGUGCAGAAGCUCCCAAGGGUUCGGCUGUUCGCCGAUUAAAGCGGUACGUGAGCUGGGUUUAGAACGUCGCGAGACAGUUCGGUCCCUAUCUGGUGUGGGCGCAGCAGGUUUGAGGGAAUCUGUCCUUAGUACGAGAGGACCGGGAUGGAUCCACCUCUAGUGUACGAGUUAUCCCGCCAGGGGUAGCGCUCGGUAGCUACGUGGAGCAUGGAUAAACGCUGAAUGCAUCUAAGCGUGAAGCCAGACCCGAGAUGAGACCUGCCAGUGAGACUCGUGGUAGACCACCACGUUGAUAGGCUGGGUGUGAAAGCGUGGCAACACGUUCAGCUAACCAGUACUAAUCAGUCCCAAGGCUUGACCGU
This 1929-nucleotide ribosomal RNA is filed under the name Acidobacteriota bacterium. Its description in RNAcentral is "bacterial LSU rRNA". The stretch from base 404 to 1927 matches the Rfam family "Bacterial large subunit ribosomal RNA". The record is from RNAcentral. Lineage: Bacteria; Pseudomonadati; Acidobacteriota.